This 919-nucleotide ribosomal RNA is filed under the name uncultured Bacteroidota bacterium. RNAcentral's name for it is "bacterial SSU rRNA". It matches the Rfam family "Bacterial small subunit ribosomal RNA", at positions 1 to 916 of the family's 1533-position model. Lineage: Bacteria; Pseudomonadati; Bacteroidota. The record is from RNAcentral.
GGAUCCAGACUUUGAUCCUGGCUCAGGAUGAACGCUAGCUACAGGCUUAACACAUGCAAGUCGAGGGGCAGCAUGACGAUAGCUUGCUAUUGUUGAUGGCGACCGGCGCACGGGUGAGUAACGCGUAUCCAACCUGCCCUUGUCCAUCGGAUAACCUGUCGAAAGGCGGCCUAACACGAUAUGCAGUCCACAGAAGGCAUCUGACGCGGACGAAAUGUGAAGGAGAAGGAUGGGGAUGCGUCUGAUUAGCUUGUUGGCGGGGUAACGGCCCACCAAGGCGACGAUCAAUAGGGGUUCUGAGAGGAAGGUCCCCCACAUUGGAACUGAGACACGGUCCAAACUCCUACGGGAGGCAGCAGUGAGGAAUAUUGGUCAAUGGGCGAGAGCCUGAACCAGCCAAGUAGCGUGCAGGAUGACGGCCCUAUGGGUUGUAAACUGCUUUUAUGCGGGGAUAAAGUGAGCCACGUGUGGCUUAUUGCAGGUACCGCAUGAAUAAGGACCGGCUAAUUCCGUGCCAGCAGCCGCGGUAAUACGGAAGGUCCGGGCGUUAUCCGGAUUUAUUGGGUUUAAAGGGAGCGUAGGCCGUCUGAUAAGCGUGUUGUGAAAUGUCGGGGCUCAACCUGGGCAUUGCAGCGCGAACUGUGAGACUUGAGUGCGCGGGAAGUAGGCGGAAUUCGUCGUGUAGCGGUGAAAUGCUUAGAUAUGACGAAGAACUCCGGUUGCGAAGGCAGCCUGCUGUAGCGCAACUGACGCUGAAGCUCGAAAGCGUGGGUAUCGAACAGGAUUAGAUACCCUGGUAGUCCACGCGGUAAACGAUGGAUGCUCGCUGUUUGCGUCUGACGUAAGCGGCCAAGCGAAAGCGUUAAGCAUCCCACCUGGGGAGUACGCCGGCAACGGUGCAACUCAAAGGAAUUGACGG